GAAGGUUGGUACUUGUACCAACUGGAUGAGCAGCGAACGGGUGAGUAACGCGUGGGGAAUCUGCCUUUGAGCGGGGGACAACAUUUGGAAACGAAUGCUAAUACCGCAUAAAAACUUUAAACACAAGUUUUAAGUUUGAAAGAUGCAAUUGCAUCACUCAAAGAUGAUCCCGCGUUGUAUUAGCUAGUUGGUGAGGUAAAGGCUCACCAAGGCGAUGAUACAUAGCCGACCUGAGAGGGUGAUCGGCCGCAUUGGGAGUGAGACACGGCCCAAACUCCUACGGGAGGCAGCAGUAGGGAAUCUUCGGCAAUGGACGAAAGUCUGACCGAGCAACGCCGCGUGAGUGAAGAAGGUUUUCGGAUCGUAAAACUCCUGUUGGUAGAGAAGAACCGUUGGUGAGAGUGGAAAGCAUCA
RNAcentral lists this ribosomal RNA (414 nucleotides) under Lactococcus lactis. RNAcentral describes it as "bacterial SSU rRNA". It matches the Rfam family "Bacterial small subunit ribosomal RNA", at positions 68 to 474 of the family's 1533-position model. The record is from RNAcentral. Lineage: Bacteria; Bacillati; Bacillota; Bacilli; Lactobacillales; Streptococcaceae.